UGCCAGCCGCCGCGGUAACACGGGGGGCGCAAGCGUUAUUCGGAAUUAUUGGGCGUAAAGGGCGCGCAGGCGGUCUUGUCCGUCAGGUGUGAAAGCUCGGGGCUCAACCCCGGAAGUGCACUUGAAACAGCAAGACUUGAAUACGGUAGAGGAGAGAGGAAUUCCUGGUGUAGAGGUGAAAUUCGUAGAUAUCAGGAGGAACACCGAUGGCGAAGGCGGCUGCCUGGCCUGAUACUGACACUGAGGCACGAAAGCGUGGGUAGCAAACAGGAUUAGAUA
Molecule: ribosomal RNA, 279 nt
Filed under: uncultured bacterium
Lineage: Bacteria
Description: partial 16S ribosomal RNA
Rfam family: Bacterial small subunit ribosomal RNA
Source: RNAcentral